Molecule: ribosomal RNA, 505 nt
Filed under: uncultured bacterium
Lineage: Bacteria
Description: partial 16S ribosomal RNA
Rfam family: Bacterial small subunit ribosomal RNA
Source: RNAcentral
GACGAACGCUGGCGGCGUGCCUAAUACAUGCAAGUAGAACGCACAGUUUAUACCGUAGCUUGCUACACCAUAGACUGUGAGUUGCGAACGGGUGAGUAACGCGUAGGUAACCUGCCGGGUAGCGGGGGAUAACUAUUGGAAACGAUAGCUAAUACCGCAUAAUAUUAAUUAUUGCAUGAUAAUUAAUUGAAAGGUGCAAUUGCACCACUACCAGAUGGACCUGCGUUGUAUUAGCUAGUAGGUGAGGUAACGGCUCACCUAGGCGACGAUACAUAGCCGACCUGAGAGGGUGAUCGGCCACACUGGGACUGAGACACGGCACAGACUCCUACGGGAGGCAGCAGUAGGGAAUCUUCGGCAAUGGACGAAAGUCUGACCGAGCAACGCCGCGUGAGUGAAGAAGGUUUUCGGAUCGUAAAGCUCUGUUGUAAGAGAAGAACGGGUGUGAGAGUGGAAAGUUCACACUGUGACGGUAUCUUACCAGAAAGGGACGGCUAACUACGUG